ACGGGAGGCAGCAGUGGGGGAUAUUGGACAAUGGGGGCAACCCUGAUCUAGCGACGCCGCGUGAGGGAAGAAGGUUUUCGGAUUGUAAACCUCUGUUGAUGGGGAAAAUAAUGAUGGUACCCAUUUAGAAAGCCACGGCUAACUACGUGCCAGCAGCCGCGGUAAUACGUAGGUGGCAAGCGUUGUCCGGAAUUACUGGGUGUAAAGGGAGCGUAGGCGGGACUGCAAGUCAGAAGUGAAAAUUAUGGGCUCAACUCAUAACCUGCUUUUGAAACUGUAGUUCUUGAGUGAAGUAGAGGCAAGCGGAAUUCCUAGUGUAGCGGUGAAAUGCGUAGAUAUUAGGAGGAACACCAGUGGCGAAGGCGGCUUGCUGGGCUUUUACUGACGCUGAGGCUCGAAAGCGUGGGGAGCAAACAGGAUUAGAUACCCUGGUA
RNAcentral lists this ribosomal RNA (434 nucleotides) under uncultured Clostridium sp. Its description in RNAcentral is "partial 16S ribosomal RNA". It matches the Rfam family "Bacterial small subunit ribosomal RNA", at positions 341 to 792 of the family's 1533-position model. Lineage: Bacteria; Bacillati; Bacillota; Clostridia; Eubacteriales; Clostridiaceae. The record is from RNAcentral.